RNAcentral lists this ribosomal RNA (433 nucleotides) under uncultured bacterium. RNAcentral describes it as "partial 16S ribosomal RNA". It matches the Rfam family "Bacterial small subunit ribosomal RNA", at positions 29 to 507 of the family's 1533-position model. The record is from RNAcentral.
AACGAACGCUGGCGGCAUGCCUAACACAUGCCAGUCGAACGAGACCUUCGGGUCUAGUGGCGCACGGGUGCGUAACGCGUGGGAACCUGCCCUUAGGUUCGGAAUAACUCCCCGAAAGGGGUGCUAAUACCGGAUAAUGUCUUCGGACCAAAGAUUUAUCGCCUUUGGAUGGGCCCGCGUUGGAUUAGCUAGUUGGUAGGGUAAAAGCCUACCAAGGCGACGAUCCAUAGCUGGUCUGAGAGGAUGAUCAGCCACACUGGGACUGAGACACGGCCCAGACUCCUACGGGAGGCAGCAGUGGGGAAUAUUGGACAAUGGGCGAAAGCCUGAUCCAGCAAUGCCGCGUGAGUGAUGAAGGCCUUAGGGUUGUAAAGCUCUUUUACCCGGGAUGAUAAUGACAGUACCGGGAGAAUAAGCUCCAGCUAACUCCGUG